NGCCCCGCCGCCGGGAACCGGGAACCGGCACCAGCAACCCGGCACCGCCGGGAACAGGCAGCGAUCAGGGACCGACCCGGGAACCGGCACCGACCUGCCGACGGCACCCGGGAACCGGGACCUGGCACCGAUCCGGCACCGCCAGCACCCGGCACCGAUCAGGGACCGACCCGGGAAUUGGCACCGACCCGGCGCUGCCGGGAACCGGCACUGACCUGCCGACGGCACCCGGAAAUCGGCACCGACCCGGCACCGACCCGGGAUUGCCGGGACCAGACACCGACCCGGGAACCGGCAUCGACCCACUGACAGCACCUGGGAACUGGGAACCGGCACCAGCGACCCGGCACCAGCGACCCGGCACCGCCACCGCCGACAGCAUCCAGCACCCGGGACCAACCCGGCGCCACCGGGAUCCGGCAGCGCCGCAGCUGCUGGGACCCGCCGGGACCCGGCAGCAGGAACCGGGGCCGCCCCGGGACCAACCUAGCCGGGCCGGGAGCAGGACGGCACCGGGACAGCGACCGGGACCGGGACAGCACCCGACCUGCCCCGGCACCGCCGCAGCUGCCGGCACCCGGCACCGGCACCAGGACAGGGACAGGGACCGCGACCGGGACGGCACCGGAACCACCACCGCAACCGGGCCCGGGCCGGCACCAGCACCAGCACCGGGCUGGAGUGGGAUGGGGACAGGAUGGGGACCAGGACCAGGAUGGCACCUGGAGCAGGACAGGAGCCGGAUGGGGCUGGGGACGGCGCUGGGACAGCGAGGGGCCAGGGAUGGCGGGGACAGAGGCCACAGGGCCCCGCGCGCUCCAGGGUGCUGCGUGCGCACACGCGUGUGYGAGCGUGUGUGUACACAUGCACAUGCAUAGUGCAACCCCCCCUCAGGGGCUGCCCAGGCGUGUGCACACGCAUGUCUGUGCGGCUCCCAGGAUGGGCACGUGUGCGCGCAGACCCCCUCGGGAACACGCGGAGGUACACGUGCACAUGCACGGCUGCACACGCGUGUGCACGCCGUCACGGCGUGUCCGUGCCCACGUGGGCAUGCAGCCCCUCGGGGGAAGGGCCACGCUGCAUGUCCGUGGYGACGUGUGUGCAGGAAUGUGCACGCGGUCACAGGCCAUAUUGAGCAAAUGCACUGGGCACACGCGUGCACAUGCGUUCAGCAGAUGUGCCUACACGUGUGUGCAG
RNAcentral lists this long non-coding RNA (1197 nucleotides) under Apteryx owenii (little spotted kiwi). RNAcentral describes it as "lncRNA (ENSAOWG00000006774.1)". Lineage: Eukaryota; Metazoa; Chordata; Aves; Apterygiformes; Apterygidae. The record is from RNAcentral.